This 364-nucleotide long non-coding RNA is filed under the name Fukomys damarensis (Damara mole-rat). RNAcentral describes it as "lncRNA (ENSFDAG00000032420.1)". Lineage: Eukaryota; Metazoa; Chordata; Mammalia; Rodentia; Bathyergidae. The record is from RNAcentral.
CUCAGCAAAAUAUCCUCAAGUCUGACCCAUGCUGUGUAGCACAUGUCAGAAUUUCCUUUGUAUUUAAAAUUCAGUGCUGUUCCAGUGUACGGACCUGCCACGUGCUGCUUCUCCAUUCACCCAUAAGUGGACACCUUGGUGGCAUCCACGUUUCAGCUGCUGUGAGUAAUGCUGCUAUGAAGAUGGCCGAAAUUUCCCAUGAAGACCCUGCUCAAUUCGUAUGGAUGUACAGUAUACUCAAAAGUCAAAACCUACUGAUGCCUGCUAGUGCUCCUAAGCCACUUCCCUUAAAAGGGAUAGCAGAUAUUCCAAAGGUCCAAACUCUGCACCUUCUUUGACAACCCCAUGAAUCCCCCAGGCCCCA